GCUGGAGUAAGGGUCAACAACUGGAUAUAAUUAAGCAAGCAAGCUACCACUGAGCAGUCAAGAGCAGUGCAUCAUUGUUCUCUGAAAAGCAAAGAAUACGGAACUUAAGCUAUGAAGAUAAGACUGAAUAAGUGAUUGUUCGAAGGAGCAUUUAUUCAGAGAUCAGAAUGGCCUGAGAAUGGCACAUUAAACUUUUCUGCUGGAG
Long non-coding RNA from Tympanuchus pallidicinctus (lesser prairie-chicken), 205 nucleotides. RefSeq lists it as uncharacterized. The transcript is spliced from 3 exons. Lineage: Eukaryota; Metazoa; Chordata; Aves; Galliformes; Phasianidae. The record is from RefSeq and is a predicted model, not a curated record.